This 305-nucleotide ribosomal RNA is filed under the name uncultured bacterium. RNAcentral's name for it is "bacterial SSU rRNA". It matches the Rfam family "Bacterial small subunit ribosomal RNA", at positions 334 to 637 of the family's 1533-position model. The record is from RNAcentral.
UGAGCCUACGGGAGGCAGCAGUGAGGAAUAUUGGUCAAUGGUCGGGAGACUGAACCAGCCAAGCCGCGUGAGGGAGGAAGGUACAGAGUAUCGUAAACCUCUUUUGUCAGGGAACAAAGGCGGGGACGUGUCCCCGGAUGAGUGUACCUGAAGAAAAAGCAUCGGCUAACUCCGUGCCAGGAGCCGCGGGAAUACGGAGGAUGCGAGCGUUAUCCGGAUUUAUUGGGGUUAAAGGGUGCGCAGGCGGUCGGUUAAGUCAGCGGUCAAAGGCCGGGGCUCAACCCCGGCCCGCCGUUGAAACUGGG